UGGGGAAUAUUGCACAAUGGGGAAGACCCUGAUGCAGCAACGCCGCGUGAAGGAAGACGGUUUUCGGAUUGUAAACUUCUUUUCUUAGUGAAGAAGCAAGUGACGGUAGCUAAGGAAUAAGCAUCGGCUAACUACGUGCCAGCAGCCGCGGUAAUACGUAGGAUGCGAGCGUUAUCCGGAAUUACUGGGUGUAAAGGGAGCGCAGGCGGGACUGCAAGUUGGAUGUGAAAUACCGCAGCUUAACUGCGGAGCUGCAUCCAAAACUGUAGUUCUUGAGUGGAGUAGAGGCAAGCGGAAUUCCGAGUGUAGCGGUGAAAUGCGUAGAUAUUCGGAGGAACACCAGUGGCGAAGGCGGCUUGCUGGGCUCUAACUGACGCUGAGGCUCGAAAGUGUGGGGAGCAAACAGGAUUAGAUACC
RNAcentral lists this ribosomal RNA (417 nucleotides) under uncultured bacterium. RNAcentral describes it as "bacterial SSU rRNA". It matches the Rfam family "Bacterial small subunit ribosomal RNA", at positions 355 to 786 of the family's 1533-position model. The record is from RNAcentral.